GAUGAACGCUGGCGGCGUGCUUAACACAUGCAAGUCGAGCGAAGCUCUUUUGCGGAUUUCUUCGGAUUGAAGCAGAAGAUGACUGAGCGGCGGACGGGUGAGUAACGCGUGGGGAACCUGCCCCGUACCGGGGGAUAACAGAGAGAAAUUUCUGCUAAUACCGCAUAAGCGCACAGUAUGGCAUCAUACAGUGUGAAAAACUCCGGUGGUACGGGAUGGACCCGCGUUGGAUUAGCCAGUUGGCGGGGUAACGGCCCACCAAAGCGACGAUCCAUAGCCGGCCUGAGAGGGCGACCGGCCACAUUGGGACUGAGACACGGCCCAAACUCU
Molecule: ribosomal RNA, 330 nt
Filed under: uncultured Ruminococcus sp.
Lineage: Bacteria; Bacillati; Bacillota; Clostridia; Eubacteriales; Oscillospiraceae
Description: bacterial SSU rRNA
Rfam family: Bacterial small subunit ribosomal RNA
Source: RNAcentral